GAUGAACGCUGGCGGCGUGCCUAAUACAUGCAAGUCGAGCGAACGGACGAGAAGCUUGCUUCUCUGAUGUUAGCGGCGGACGUGUGAGUAACACGUGGAUAACCUACCUAUAAGACUGGGAUAACUUCGGGAAACCGGAUCUAAUACCGGAUAAUAUUUUGAACCGCAUUGUUCAAAAGUGAAAGACGGUCUUGCUGUCACUUAUAGAUGGAUCUGCGCUGCAUUAGCUAGUUGGUAAGGUAACGGCUUACCAAGGCAACGAUGCAUAGCCGACCUGAGAGGGUGAUCGGCCACACUGGAACUGAGACACGGUCCAGACUCCUACGGGAGGCAGCAGUAGGGAAUCUUCCGCAAUGGGCGAAAGCAUGACGGAGCAACGCCGCGUGAGUGAUGAAGGUCUUCGGAUCGUAAAACUCUGUUAUUAGGGAAGAACAUAUGUGUAAGUAACUGUGCACAUCUUGACGGUACCUAAUCAGAAAGCCACGGCUAACUACGUG
RNAcentral lists this ribosomal RNA (497 nucleotides) under uncultured bacterium. Its description in RNAcentral is "partial 16S ribosomal RNA". It matches the Rfam family "Bacterial small subunit ribosomal RNA", at positions 28 to 507 of the family's 1533-position model. The record is from RNAcentral.